UUCAGUCAACAACUACUCUGCAUAUGUGCUCGAGAUCAAUACCAACAGCUACUCUACUACUCUGCAUAUUUUCCAAGAUGUUUCCAGGAUAAGAAUAAACCUAUAAAGGACAAGAAACUUCACAGAAACUAAAACUGAAUUCGUGCAACUUCUGUACGCAAAUUAUGAAAGCCAUUGAUUUGAAUUGAACUGAUCACAUUAAACUGAACCCGCAACUGAAAUUCUACUACUACACUAGUGUGUGUGGCGGCGCUUAGCAGCAGGGUACUGUGGGCUAUCGUCGGGCGACAUGGGCGACGGAGAUCCCGGCGCGGGCGCCGGAGAUGGGCCAAGAUGAACGUUGUAGCCGAGUGCUG
Molecule: long non-coding RNA, 356 nt
Filed under: Hordeum vulgare
Lineage: Eukaryota; Viridiplantae; Streptophyta; Magnoliopsida; Poales; Poaceae
Description: long non-coding RNA (HVUL_LNC020002)
Source: RNAcentral